CGACCGGCGCACGGGUGCGUAACGCGUAUCGAACCUGCCCUUUACUCAGGGAUAGCCUUGCGAAAGUAAGAUUAAUACCUGAUAGUGUUGCGAUGAGGCAUCCUGUUGCAACUAAAGAUUUAUUGGUAAAGGAUGGCGAUGCGUCUGAUUAGGUAGUAGGCGGGGUAAUGGCCCACCUAGCCUUUGAUCAGUAGGGGUUCUGAGAGGAAGGUCCCCCACAUUGGAACUGAGACACGGUCCAA
RNAcentral lists this ribosomal RNA (242 nucleotides) under uncultured Bacteroidales bacterium. Its description in RNAcentral is "partial 16S ribosomal RNA". It matches the Rfam family "Bacterial small subunit ribosomal RNA", at positions 92 to 334 of the family's 1533-position model. The record is from RNAcentral. Lineage: Bacteria; Pseudomonadati; Bacteroidota; Bacteroidia; Bacteroidales.